AGUCGAACGGCAGCACGGGUGCUUGCACCUGGUGGCGAGUGGCGAACGGGUGAGUAAUACAUCGGAACAUGUCCUGUAGUGGGGGAUAGCCCGGCGAAAGCCGGAUUAAUACCGCAUACGAUCCACGGAUGAAAGCGGGGGACCUUCGGGCCUCGCGCUAUAGGGUUGGCCGAUGGCUGAUUAGCUAGUUGGUGGGGUAAAGGCCUACCAAGGCGACGAUCAGUAGCUGGUCUGAGAGGACGACCAGCCACACUGGGACUGAGACACGGCCCAGACUCCUACGGGAGGCAGCAGUGGGGAAUUUUGGACAAUGGGCGAAAGCCUGAUCCAGCAAUGCCGCGUGUGUGAAGAAGGCCUUCGGGUUGUAAAGCACUUUUGUCCGGAAAGAAAUCCCUGGCUCUAAUACAGCCGGGGGAUGACGGUACCGGAAGAAUAAGCACCGGCUAACUACGUGCCAGCAGCCGCGGUAAUACGUAGGGUGCAAGCGUUAAUCGGAAUUACUGGGCGUAAAGCGUGCGCAGGCGGUUUGCUAAGACCGAUGUGAAAUCCCCGGGCUCAACCUGGGAACUGCAUUGGUGACUGGCAGGCUAGAGUAUGGCAGAGGGGGGUAGAAUUCCACGUGUAGCAGUGAAAUGCGUAGAGAUGUGGAGGAAUACCGAUGGCGAA
Molecule: ribosomal RNA, 666 nt
Filed under: Burkholderia sp.
Lineage: Bacteria; Pseudomonadati; Pseudomonadota; Betaproteobacteria; Burkholderiales; Burkholderiaceae
Description: bacterial SSU rRNA
Rfam family: Bacterial small subunit ribosomal RNA
Source: RNAcentral